RNAcentral lists this ribosomal RNA (440 nucleotides) under uncultured bacterium. Its description in RNAcentral is "bacterial SSU rRNA". It matches the Rfam family "Bacterial small subunit ribosomal RNA", at positions 338 to 795 of the family's 1533-position model. The record is from RNAcentral.
CCUACGGGGGGCUGCAGUGGGGAAUAUUGCACAAUGGGGGAAACCCUGAUGCAGCAACGCCGCGUGAGCGAUGAAGGCCUUCGGGUCGUAAAGCUCUGUCCUAAGGGAAGAAUACUGACGGUACCUUAGGAGGAAGCCCCGGCUAACUACGUGCCAGCAGCCGCGGUUAUACGUAGGGGGCUAGCGUUAUCCGGAAUUACUGGGCGUAAAGGGUGCGUAGGCGGCCCUUCUAGUCAGCGGUGAAAGGAGACGGCUCAACCGUAGUAAGCCUUUGGAGGUGUAGGGCUUGGGUGCAGGAGAGGAGAGUGGAAUUCUCAGUGGAGCGGUGAAGUGCGUAGAUAUUGGGAGGAACACCAGUUGCGAAGGCGGCUCUCUGGUCUGUACCUGACGCUGAGGCACGAAAGCGUGGGGAGCGAACAGGAUUAGAUACCCCUGUAGUC